AGGCCACUGUUGUUUACAUUGUAGCCGCGGCAACGGGCGAUGGAUGAUGGCUUCACACGUGGGGUGAUGCUGCCUUUAAAAAGAGCUGUGAAGGAGCGGCAUUCGGCAAAUACAGCCAGCAGGACAGUAAGAGCCAGGAGACGCGAGGGCGUCCUUGGUUACCUAACACGUCUGCAGGCUGUUGUCCCGACAACGGGUGGACGCAGCGCACAGGCGCCCCGCUGAUUACAGCAAGGUCUGGACAACGGGAUGACGUCAUCGCCAAGCGCCCCCGCACGCCAGGACGCCGGACACCCGCCCGGAGCUCAGGUGAAUGGUGAUCACACAGGUAUUUAGGAGGGACCACAUGUUGUGAAGGAGAGUAGCAGAGGCAUCGCCACAUUUUGGACAAAAUCCCGUUUCUUCAGGAGCAAAGUGAUGUCUCUGACCUUGGGAUAUAUAUGCCCUAUAGAUCAUCCUAAUGUGUGUUUCUUGUAAUGAAGAUGAGCGAAGAAUGCGAAGUGUUUUGUCAAAAUAUUGAAAUAAAAUAUUAGAUUGCAUUAAUAAAGGAAAAUCUGA
Pseudophryne corroboree (corroboree frog) is the source of this 558-nucleotide long non-coding RNA. RefSeq lists it as uncharacterized. Lineage: Eukaryota; Metazoa; Chordata; Amphibia; Anura; Myobatrachidae. The record is from RefSeq and is a predicted model, not a curated record. The transcript is spliced from 3 exons.